GACGAACGCUGGCGGCGUGCUUAACACAUGCAAGUCGAACGGUGAAGCGCCUUCCUUUUUGGUGGGUGUGGAUGAGUGGCGAACGGGUGAGUAACACGUGAGUAACCUGCCCCCUUCUUCUGGAUAACCGCAUGAAAGUGUGGCUAAUACGGGAUAUUCUGGGUCUGUCGCAUGAUGGGUCUGGGAAAGAUAUUGUUUCGGUGGUGGAUGGGCUCGCGGCCUAUCAGCUUGUUGGUGGGGUGAUGGCCUACCAAGGCGGUGACGGGUAGCCGGCCUGAGAGGGUGGACGGCCACACUGGGACUGAGACACGGCCCAGACUCCUACGGGAGGCAGCAGUGGGGAAUAUUGCACAAUGGGCGCAAGCCUGAUGCAGCGACGCCGCGUGAGGGAUGGAGGCCUUCGGGUUGUGAACCUCUUUCGCCAGUGAAGCAGGCCUGCCUCGUUUGUGGGUGGGUUGACGGUAGCUGGAUAAGAAGCGCCGGCUAACUACGUG
This 494-nucleotide ribosomal RNA is filed under the name uncultured bacterium. Its description in RNAcentral is "partial 16S ribosomal RNA". It matches the Rfam family "Bacterial small subunit ribosomal RNA", at positions 28 to 507 of the family's 1533-position model. The record is from RNAcentral.